Daphnia pulex (common water flea) is the source of this 575-nucleotide long non-coding RNA. RefSeq lists it as uncharacterized. The transcript is spliced from 3 exons. Lineage: Eukaryota; Metazoa; Arthropoda; Branchiopoda; Diplostraca; Daphniidae. The record is from RefSeq and is a predicted model, not a curated record.
GAAAAAGUCGUAUAAAAAGAGAGAGAAAAGGCGAAGGUAAAUCAGUUGAGGGAGCAUCUCCGACACAGCAACAACUGCAGCGCACUAUAGGUCACUCUUCAUCGUAUUACAUCAGUUCGCAAUCAUGGUCAACUAUGGCGUUUUGGUGCUGUCGGUGUUGUAUCGUUGAUGGCUGCGUCAACCACAAAUGUACUGAUGUCUCCUGGGUAUGGUGGAUACCAAGCAACAGUACCGAAAGAAGACUACACCACGUCGCCGCCUCACAACAAAAAAAUGCUAACGUAGGCUACGCAACACCUAUUUACUACACCGAGGCCCCCAACUAGUACACCAACGAGACUUCAGAGUACUUCACGAAAACUUACGUUGCCCUGAGCUACUACAUCGAAGCCACCAAGUACUAGACCGAGGCUCAAGUUUAUUAACACCACUAAAGCUGUCGAAUACUACACCGAAGCGCCCAAGUACUACAAUGCAACAUACACUGCCCCAACUUAGUACACCGAGGCAGCGGAGUACUACUACACCACCACCGAGGCAGCGGAGUACUACUACACCACCACCGAGGCAGCGGA